GACGAACGCUGGCGGCGUGCCUAAUACAUGCAAGUUGAGCGCUGAAGGUUGGUACUUGUACCGACUGGAUGAGCAGCGAACGGGUGAGUAACGCGUGGGGAAUCUGCCUUUGAGCGGGGGACAACAUUUGGAAACGAAUGCUAAUACCGCAUAAAAACUUUAAACACAAGUUUUAAGUUUGAAAGAUGCAAUUGCAUCACUCAAAGAUGAUCCCGCGUUGUAUUAGCUAGUUGGUGAGGUAAAGGCUCACCAAGGCGAUGAUACAUAGCCGACCUGAGAGGGUGAUCGGCCACAUUGGGACUGAGACACGGCCCAAACUCCUACGGGAGGCAGCAGUAGGGAAUCUUCGGCAAUGGACGAAAGUCUGACCGAGCAACGCCGCGUGAGUGAAGAAGGUUUUCGGAUCGUAAAACACUGUUGGCAGAGAAGAACGUUGGUGAGAGUGGAAAGCUCAUCAAGUGACGGUAACUACCCAGAAAGGGACGGCUAACUACGUG
This 497-nucleotide ribosomal RNA is filed under the name uncultured bacterium. Its description in RNAcentral is "partial 16S ribosomal RNA". It matches the Rfam family "Bacterial small subunit ribosomal RNA", at positions 28 to 507 of the family's 1533-position model. The record is from RNAcentral.